UACGGGGGGGGCAAGCGUUGUUCGGAAUUACUGGGCGUAAAGGGCUCGUAGGCGGCCAACUAAGUCAGACGUGAAAUCCCCAGGCUCAACCUGGGAACUGCGUCUGAUACUGGAUGGCUUGAAUCCGGGAGAGGGAUGCAGAAUUCCAGGUGUAGCGGUGAAAUGCGUAGAUAUCAGGAGGAACACCGGUGGCGAAGGCGGGUCUCUGGGCCGGAACUGACGCUAAGGAGCGAAAGCGUGGGGAGCGAACAGG
RNAcentral lists this ribosomal RNA (253 nucleotides) under uncultured bacterium. RNAcentral's name for it is "partial 16S ribosomal RNA". It matches the Rfam family "Bacterial small subunit ribosomal RNA", at positions 524 to 776 of the family's 1533-position model. The record is from RNAcentral.